RNAcentral lists this ribosomal RNA (253 nucleotides) under uncultured bacterium. RNAcentral describes it as "partial 16S ribosomal RNA". It matches the Rfam family "Bacterial small subunit ribosomal RNA", at positions 524 to 776 of the family's 1533-position model. The record is from RNAcentral.
UACAGAGGUCUCAAGCGUUGUUCGGAUUCAUUGGGCGUAAAGGGUGCGUAGGCGGCGCGGUAAGUCGGGUGUGAAAUCUCGGGGCUUAACUCCGAAACUGCAUUCGAUACUGCCGUGCUUGAGGACUGGAGAGGAGACUGGAAUUUACGGUGUAGCGGUGAAAUGCGUAGAUAUCGUAAGGAAGACCAGUGGCGAAGGCGGGUCUCUGGAGAGUACCUGACGCUGAGGCACGAAGGCCAGGGGAGCAAACGGG